AAAUUGAAGAGUUUGAUCAUGGCUCAGAUUGAACGCUGGCGGCAGGCCUAACACAUGCAAGUCGAACGGUAACAGGAAGAAGCUUGCUUCUUUGCUGACGAGUGGCGGACGGGUGAGUAAUGUCUGGGAAACUGCCUGAUGGAGGGGGAUAACUACUGGAAACGGUAGCUAAUACCGCAUAAUGUCGCAAGACCAAAGAGGGGGACCUUCGGGCCUCUUGCCAUCGGAUGUGCCCAGAUGGGAUUAGCUAGUAGGUGGGGUAAAGGCUCACCUAGGCGACGAUCCCUAGCUGGUCUGAGAGGAUGACCAGCCACACUGGAACUGAGACACGGUCCAGACUCCUACGGGAGGCAGCAGUGGGGAAUAUUGCACAAUGGGCGCAAGCCUGAUGCAGCCAUGCCGCGUGUAUGAAGAAGGCCUUCGGGUUGUAAAGUACUUUCAGCGGGGAGGAAGGGAGUAAAGUUAAUACCUUUGCUCAUUGACGUUACCCGCAGAAGAAGCACCGGCUAACUCCGUGCCAGCAGCCGCGGUAAUACGGAGGGUGCAAGCGUUAAUCGGAAUUACUGGGCGUAAAGCGCACGCAGGCGGUUUGUUAAGUCAGAUGUGAAAUCCCCGGGCUCAACCUGGGAACUGCAUCUGAUACUGGCAAGCUUGAGUCUCGUAGAGGGGGGUAGAAUUCCAGGUGUAGCGGUGAAAUGCGUAGAGAUCUGGAGGAAUACCGGUGGCGAAGGCGGCCCCCUGGACGAAGACUGACGCUCAGGUGCGAAAGCGUGGGGAGCAAACAGGAUUAGAUACCCUGGUAGUCCACGCCGUAAACGAUGUCGACUUGGAGGUUGUGCCCUUGAGGCGUGGCUUCCGGAGCUAACGCGUUAAGUCGACCGCCUGGGGAGUACGGCCGCAAGGUUAAAACUCAAAUGAAUUGACGGGGGCCCGCACAAGCGGUGGAGCAUGUGGUUUAAUUCGAUGCAACGCGAAGAACCUUACCUGGUCUUGACAUCCACGGAAGUUUUCAGAGAUGAGAAUGUGCCUUCGGGAACCGUGAGACAGGUGCUGCAUGGCUGUCGUCAGCUCGUGUUGUGAAAUGUUGGGUUAAGUCCCGCAACGAGCGCAACCCUUAUCCUUUGUUGCCAGCGGUCCGGCCGGGAACUCAAAGGAGACUGCCAGUGAUAAACUGGAGGAAGGUGGGGAUGACGUCAAGUCAUCAUGGCCCUUACGACCAGGGCUACACACGUGCUACAAUGGCGCAUACAAAGAGAAGCGACCUCGCGAGAGCAAGCGGACCUCAUAAAGUGCGUCGUAGUCCGGAUUGGAGUCUGCAACUCGACUCCAUGAAGUCGGAAUCGCUAGUAAUCGUGGAUCAGAAUGCCACGGUGAAUACGUUCCCGGGCCUUGUACACACCGCCCGUCACACCAUGGGAGUGGGUUGCAAAAGAAGUAGGUAGCUUAACCUUCGGGAGGGCGCUUACCACUUUGUGAUUCAUGACUGGGGUGAAGUCGUAACAAGGUAACCGUAGGGGAACCUGCGGUUGGAUCACCUCCUUACCUUAAAGAAGC
This 1554-nucleotide ribosomal RNA is filed under the name Escherichia coli. Its description in RNAcentral is "bacterial SSU rRNA". It matches the Rfam family "Bacterial small subunit ribosomal RNA". The record is from RNAcentral. Lineage: Bacteria; Pseudomonadati; Pseudomonadota; Gammaproteobacteria; Enterobacterales; Enterobacteriaceae.